This 716-nucleotide long non-coding RNA is filed under the name Callithrix jacchus (white-tufted-ear marmoset). Its description in RNAcentral is "lncRNA (ENSCJAG00000086045.1)". The record is from RNAcentral. Lineage: Eukaryota; Metazoa; Chordata; Mammalia; Primates; Cebidae.
AAUGGUGUUAAAGGUACAAGUGAAUGAAUCUUCUCUUAAUUUUGAGACAAUUCCUGGCACUGGCACUGAUGAAGAAGAUGGCAGCAAACGGAAGACUGGAACCAAAGAGGAGCCUUGAGAAGUCAGAAGUUCUGUUCCAGUGAGUUGAAUCAAGACUCACAGUUUAGAACUGGGAAGAAAGAGCUCUUCUCUUGUUAUGCUCUUGGGAUGCCCAAUGACUGAAUUACUAGUAACAAUUGGCCUGAAUCCUCCUGUCAGUCUGGCACUGUCUGAAUAACUCUUCGUGCAGUGAAGGAAGGAGCUGUUCCCCGCUUAAACGUCAUUGACGGCUGUCUGCUUAUCUGCCAGCUUCCAAGCUACAGUUUAAGUUGGAAGGACAUGGGCAAAGGACAAUGCCACCUUUCAGCUGUAAUUGCAAGUCAUGAUUACCAAUCACCAUCUAUCAAGAAGACAGCUAAUUUUUGAUACUAUAUAAUAAAAUAGGCUCUGGUUAUUUUUCUUCUUUUUUUCUUUUUUUAAAUUAAACUUUAAGUUUUGGGAUACAUGUACACAAAAUACAGAUUUGUUACAUAGGUAUACACGUGCCAUGGUGGUUUGCUGCACCCAUCAACCAGUCAUCUACAUUAGGUGUUUCUACUAAUGCUAUCCCUCCCCUAGCCUUCCACCUUCCGACAGGCCUUAGUGUGUGAUAGUCCCCUCACUGUGUACCUGUGUUC